Molecule: ribosomal RNA, 93 nt
Filed under: Enterococcus faecium
Lineage: Bacteria; Bacillati; Bacillota; Bacilli; Lactobacillales; Enterococcaceae
Source: RNAcentral
UGUGGUGGCGAUAGCGAGAAGGAUACACCUGUAACCAUGCCGAACACAGAAGUUAAGCUUCUUAGCGCCGAUUGUAGUGAGGUGUUGCCCUCU